Molecule: long non-coding RNA, 284 nt
Filed under: Salvia miltiorrhiza (redroot sage)
Lineage: Eukaryota; Viridiplantae; Streptophyta; Magnoliopsida; Lamiales; Lamiaceae
Description: long non-coding RNA (SMIL_LNC008841)
Source: RNAcentral
GAAGCAUUUACAACACCAAGGGCGAUGUCGAGAUAAGUGGGGAGAAGAUCAAGAAGGAAAAGAGAAGGCCAUGGCCAUGUUCAAGGCUAUUGAGGCUUACCUCCACUCAAAUUCUGAUGCUUGAAAGCUCUAUACAUAAAGUUUUAUAUCUUGUCAUAUUUUGGUUUCUUGUUCAUUUUAUGUUUGGGAUUUGCCCUUUUUGGGUGUGAGUGAGUUGUGAUAUAUAGCUGUGAUUUUCUCUUCAUAGGGUGUUUCUUUGUAUCUUUCUGGUCUUGUUCAAGUAU